GGGGUUGUAGCUCAGUGGUUGAGCCCUUGCCUCGGGUGCAUGAAGCACUGGGUUCGAUCCUCAGCACCACA
Molecule: transfer RNA, 71 nt
Filed under: Marmota monax (woodchuck)
Lineage: Eukaryota; Metazoa; Chordata; Mammalia; Rodentia; Sciuridae
Description: tRNA.Pro
Rfam family: tRNA
About the family: Transfer RNA (tRNA) molecules are approximately 80 nucleotides in length.
Source: RNAcentral